This 892-nucleotide ribosomal RNA is filed under the name uncultured bacterium. RNAcentral's name for it is "bacterial SSU rRNA". It matches the Rfam family "Bacterial small subunit ribosomal RNA", at positions 21 to 889 of the family's 1533-position model. The record is from RNAcentral.
GGCUCAGAACGAACGCCGGCGGCGUGCCUAACACAUGCAAGUCGAACGGAUUUGAGGGGCUUGCUCCUCAAGUUAGUGGCGCACGGGUGAGUAACGCGUAGAUAAUCUGCCUGAUGAUUCGGGAUAACACUUCGAAAGGGGUGCUAAUACCGGAUAAGCCCACGUGGUCUUUGGAUCGUGCGGGAAAAGGGGGGGACCUUCGGGCCUUCUGUCAUCAGAUGAGUCUGCGUACCAUUAGCUAGUUGGUAGGGUAAUGGCCUACCAAGGCUACGAUGGUUAGCUGGUUUGAGAGAAUGAUCAGCCACACUGGAACUGAGACACGGUCCAGACUCCUACGGGAGGCAGCAGUGGGGAAUUUUGCGCAAUGGGCGAAAGCCUGACGCAGCAACGCCGCGUGAGUGAUGAAGGCUUUCGGGUCGUAAAGCUCUGUCGAGGGGAAAGAAGUGUACGGGGGCUAAUAUCCUCUGUACUUGACGGUACCCCUAAAGGAAGCACCGGCUAACUCCGUGCCAGCAGCCGCGGUAAUACGGGGGGUGCAAGCGUUGUUCGGAAUUAUUGGGCGUAAAGAGCGUGUAGGCGGUUUGUUAAGUCUGAUGUGAAAGCCCUGGGCUCAACCCAGGAAGUGCAUUGGAAACUGGCAGACUUGAAUACGGGAGAGGGCAGUGGAAUUCCUAGUGUAGGAGUGAAAUCCGUAGAUAUUAGGAGGAACACCGGUGGCGAAGGCGGCUGCCUGGACCGAUAUUGACGCUGAGACGCGAAAGCGUGGGUAGCAAACAGGAUUAGAUACCCUGGUAGUCCACGCCGUAAACGAUGAGAACUAGGUGUUGCGGGUAUUGACCCCUGCAGUGCCGCAGCUAACGCAUUAAGUUCUCCGCCUGGGGAGUACGGUCGC